This 305-nucleotide ribosomal RNA is filed under the name uncultured bacterium. Its description in RNAcentral is "partial 16S ribosomal RNA". It matches the Rfam family "Bacterial small subunit ribosomal RNA", at positions 508 to 807 of the family's 1533-position model. The record is from RNAcentral.
ACAGCAGUCGCCGCGGUAAUACGAAGGGUGCAAGCGUUAAUCGGAAUUACUGGGCGUAAAGCGUGCGUAGGCGGUGAGUUAAGUCUGCUGUGAAAUCCCCGGGCUCAACCUGGGAAUGGCAGUGGAUACUGGCUCGCUAGAGUGUGUCAGAGGAUGGUGGAAUUCCCGGUGUAGCGGUGAAAUUCGUAGAUAUUCGGAAGAACACCAGUGGCGAAGGCGGCUUACUGGCUCAUACUGGACGCUGAGGUGCGAAAGCGUGGGGAGCAAACAGGAUUAGAGACCCCCGUAGUCCCUGUCUCUUAUAC